UUUGCGAUUUCCUCCAUUUGGGCCUUUCCCAACACAGAAAUGCUUCCGAAGGACACAUAAAUCACCGACCCUUCUGGCUUCGAGUUCAGCCACUCGAGGUAUGAAGAGUCCUUUGAUUUUUGGAAAAGAUCGCCUCCAAAUGACUUGUCCGAUGGAUCCUUGCCGUCCAAGAAAGCGGACGGAAUCAAUGGCCCAACUCCAAUCAAGUUGUACUUGUCAAUUGCUUUUAAGGCUUCCGGCUCUAGUGCAUCGAACGUGUUGACUAGAAUGGUCGGAUUGGUUUCUCUUUCCAACAGCUCCAUCUGUUCUUGAAACAACGGGAGGGCGAAAUUGUACGGAUUUGUAUCCACCAUGAAGGAGGGAAGGUCUCGGCUUGUGAAAGAUAAUGGCAAACCUGGUAAUUCUAUUGAACAUGGAAGGACAUUGUUCGUACCAGAACUAGUAUUAUCCCGGAUGAGAUCUUUGUACCCGUUAAAGUAAUAGUAGUAGAUGUCGAAAACCGUGGCUGGCUGAAUCCAAAGCAGCACGCUUGGGAGGUGAAGUUCAUGUGCCAUCCCUGCCGACCAAGGGAGAAGUAAUGAGUAGACUAGGCAAGUGUAAGGGUGACCCUCGUUUGCACUUGCGACUACAAGGUCGGUAAUGGCUUGUACUCCGCGGCGCCGCAGCUCUGACAUGUAGUCGUCGAUGUUGUCGCCGGGCUUAAACCCAUCGUCGUACCCAUCAGAGAAGGGCGCAUAGGUCAAUCCAUCUGGAAUUGAGCCAUUGCCUAUACGGCGAUGGGCUGACAGACUAGUAACGUAGGUGACAUGCGCACCUGUAGUGUUGAUAAGGCGCUUGGCGAAUUGGAGGGAAGGGUUGAUGUGGCCUUGAGCUGGAAAUGUGACGAGUAGAAAGCGGUGUUGCACCAUGGCGGCGUAUGCGAUUGCCGGAGGUGCGCGGUGGAGUGUGGAGUUGUUGGAAGUAGAAUAAGUAGGUAUGUAGUUGAUUGUUGAAAAAUUUGGUACUGUGGGCUUAUAAGCUGAGUGCAGUUGAAAUUCUUGUGGGAGUAUACAUUCAAGGUGGGGAGUGCGGUGAGAGGAUGGCAAGGCUUAAAUGGGGGAUUGGGGGUAGAAAUGUGACGUUUGUGGUGAAAAAUUGAAGACGCUGGAGACAAAUUUGCCAAGAUGAGAAGGAUACUUGUGAUUGUCAAUCCAUGCAUAAUAUAUGGAUAAUGUUAGGGAAACCAUCUAUUUAAAUCAUAUGACGUACUUGUUGAGGAUUGAAUUAUUAUUUAAGUGUUGAUUAACGUGUUUAUUUUCUAUUAGUGACACAUCACUUGAUUUUUAUUUUUUUUUGUUUAUCGUUAGGUAGGAUUUUGAUCAUGAAAAUAAAAGGACAUAGUCAUCUAUUUAGGAUUGUCCAAAGGUUUAUUAAAUUCAAUAUUUGAAACCUGUUCAAGAGGUUUAAUAUUGUCCAAAACCUAGAAGAUAAAUAACUACUGAAUAGGCUUAAAUCUUGAUAGAGUAGAGGGAAAAGAAGAAUGAGGAGGCAAGUACUACGCAAAAUAAAAUCUUCAUCUUGAGAACAAAUAUGUAAAACGAUCGUGCAAAUUUUUAAGAUGCAGACUUCAAGGGCACGUAUUGAUUUGAUAGGUUCAUGACGAAGAAUACAUGAAGGCAUGCACCUGGAUGUGGAGGGUAAUGGACAUUGCUGCGUGUUGGGUAGCUAUAUGAUUGAUUUCGUAGCUAGAGAGAGGAGGAAAAGAAUGUAGAGGUCUCUUGUGGCAGGCAUAAAAGAAGACAACUUAGAAGCAUUGUUCUAAAAAGCGACAUAGGUAGGUACUACGCGGAGGCUGGGUGCCCCGAUUAGGGCUUGUGCGUUUAAAAAAUCAAUGAAGCCUCUAGGCGGUAAUUGGGCGGCUGCUUAGGCGGCCCUGAGCCUACGCAGUCUAAUUUAUUUAUUUAAUUUUUUUUUAAGUUAACGGUUUGAAGAUAAUGUUCUUGUAAAUAACUCUAAAUAUAUAUUUCAUUUUGUGUAUUCAACCAGUUGUAGUCAUUUAUAUGUUUUUAUUGCUAUAAUAAAUUUAAUUAAAAUAAAAAAAAAUAUGUCUAGACCUAGACCUGACAUUCAUGUCGUGUUUUCCGUAUUCGUGUCGUUUUUGUGCCAUACUCGAUAUCUUAACGGGUCGUGUCGUGUAACACCCGUUAAAAUAAACGGGUAAAAUGAUCCGACCCGAAAUCGAUCCGAUAAUAUUAACAGGUAAUAUGACCCGACCUGUUACCCGUUAAGGAAAAUAUAUUUUAAACCAAUAAAUAAUCAAAUGAAAAAACAUAAUACUAAAUAAGUAUAUACAUACCAUAUUGUUACAUCCAAAACAUAAAAACGUAAUUUUCUUUUAAGUAUAUUUUCAAUAACCUAAAGUCUUUAAUAGUUUUUUAAUUAAUGUAGAAGUGUAAAAAAUAUAGAAAAAAAUAUAUAAACGCUCGUAAUAACAAGCUUUACAACUUUCAUGAAGAGCUUAACUUCGAAAUUUGCUACUAUAAUCAUAUAAAUCAUAGAUCAAAAUUUAACCGUUGAUUAUUGUUUACAUUUAUGCUUCAUUGUUCUCAUCAAAUUUUAUUUUUUCAGUUUUUCUUUUUUGAAAACUUGAUCUAUUAGAGGAUGCAGGAAGAUGAACGAUUUGGAUCGUAGAUAUUAUAUUCAGAGUUUUACGUUUAGUGAAAAUAUUGCUUGAUGUUUAUAAAGUUUCUACAAACUAUAUGACAUCAACUCAUAUUUCAGUUGAUUGUAAAUAUCGAAAUGUGAUAUCAAAGAUCUGAACCGUUUAUCUUCUUACAUCCGCCAGAUGAUUAUGUUUCAAAAAAGAAAAUUUUAAAAAUGAAAUUCAAUAAGAAGAAUAAAGCGUAAAUGGCAAUCGACGGUUAAAUAUAAAUUUAAGAUUUAUGAAUUAUAGUGUUGGAUUUCGAAGUUGACCCCUUCAUGAAAGUUGUAAAGUUUGUCACUAUGAGUGAUUGUAUAUUUUUUUUUUUACAUUUUUUUACACUUCUACAAUAAUUAUUAUUAAUUUUAUUAAUUUUGUCCUCAAAUAAAAAACAUUAUUUAUGAAGGUUUGGAGGAUUUUAAAAAUCUAAACGAUAAUGUAAGUGUAACCAUUAUCUACUCGUGGAAGAAUAAUGAUGAAUCAUGAGUGUUUAUAUAUUCUUUCACAUUUUUCAUACUUGUAUGUAUGUCUUCUUAGUUCUUGCCUAUACAAAUACUAUAUUAGUUUAUUUUAAUUUUGGACAACAACAUGUUAAGUAAAAUUUAUCCUAGUAAUGAUAAUAACGAACUCUCAUAAUAAAAAUAAAUAAUGACUAAAACUUUUUUUUUUUAAACUUAUAUAGAAUAAUAAUACAAAACUAUAUAUUUAAUAUAGAAUAUAUUGUAUAUAUUAAUAUGGCUAUUGUAUUUUAUAAUAAAUCUUUUAGUAAUUAAACUUUAAAUUAUCAAAAUAAAUUUUUUCUUAAUGGAUCGAAAUGACCACGUGUUAUCCGCAUGUAUACCCAUUAAGAACCCGUUAUUAAUGGGUUCUUAACGGGUCAUUCGAUAAUGACCCAAUAAGUUAUCGUGUUGACCCGAAACCCGUUAUUUUCGUGUCGUUUUCAUAUCGUGUCAGAAACUGCUGGGUCUAACUAGACCUUGCGACCCCGCCUAGGCCAAUCCCAUUAUUGGUGACUAUUUAGCUCUUCCAGCAUCUACCUGAUAAUAGUAUAAAAUGAAUACUCAGAUAGGGUGCCAUGUGUCAAUGGAUUAGUAGGGUUGGUAUAAGGUAGUUAAAGGUUGUUGAGAUUGUAGUGAUUUAGUGUGCAAGCAAGCUUUGUUAGUUAGAAGAAGAAUAUAUAACAGUUUGUAAGAAUUGUAUUACUCAUUAGAAAAUAUACAAGAAUUCAUUUUCCCUCUAUUUCUCUCUAUUAUCUCUCUCUCUCUCUAAAAACCUUCAUUGUUUUUCUGCAUUACUGCAACAUAAUCUGUUGCUUUACAUGGUAUCAUUCGCCUGUCAAUUUGAUCUUGGAUUUUGUGCUUUUGCCGCUCAAGAUCUUCUCCUUCUUUACUUCUGGAUCUCAUAAUUCUAAAAGUUUCUGAUUUUCUCUCCAUCUUGGUCAUGCACUCUAGGUAUUUGAUCAUAUCUCAUUCAUAAUUCUUCAAAGAAAAGCUACAAUGGUGAUUGCCAAUCAACUACAAUUCGUGCAAUCACCUAUCAUAUCUCUUAUCUCUAUCGUUUCUACGUCUGUUAAUGUCAAGCUCGAUGACUCCAACUAUCUUACUUAGAAUUUUCAGAUCCAGUUGCUACUCGAAAGCCAUGGAAUUAUGGGGUUCUUAGAUGAGUCUAAUCCUUGUCCUGAAAGAUUUGUUUCAUCUGGUUCAGGGGAAUCUAAAGUCGAUUAUAGGGAUUCAUCAUUAAGAAUUGAAACUGAUGCAUACAAGAUUUGGAAAAUGCAUGAUCGUGCCUUGAUGCAACUCAUUACUAUUACAUUAUCUUCAUCAGUUGUGUCUUGUGCUAUUGGAAGCACAAGUGCUCAAGAUUUAUGGAUUCGGCUCAAAGAACAGUUCUCUAUUGUCAAUCGUGCAACUAUAUUCCAAAUGAAAUAUGAGUUGCAAAAUAUCAAGAAAGGCACUGAUUCAAUAUCUCAGUAUUUGCAGAGAAUCAAUGAAGCUUGAGAUUAUUUGGCAGCUGCAGGAGUAUACUUCGAAGAUGAUGAUAUUGCCAUAUUAGCACUUAAUGGCUUACCAGGGGAGUACAAUACUAAAAGAUCUAUCAUUAGAAGUAGAGAAAGUGUUAUCUCUAUCAAAGACUUGAGAUCCCAGUUGCUUGAUGAAGAAGGAAUGGUUGAAAAUACUAUUGUUACUCCAUUUCUCUCUGCAAUGGUUGCCCAGAAUUCUGAGUCCAGUUCCAAGAACUCAUCUAUCUCAUCCUAAGAGUAUUCUGGUAAUCACAAUCAAGGAUUUUCUGGCAAUUCAAGUUAAGGGUAUUCAAGUAAUCAAUCUCAUGGCUUUUCUGGUGGGGGCAAUCAGGCUACCUACUUUGAGAAUAACUAUAACAAGAACAAGGGCAGAGGUAAAUUCAACUAAUUCAACUAUAAUUCUAAUUUUUGCAUACUUCUGUUUUUGGCGUUCUUGGUGCACCUCCAACUUGCCAAAUCCGUGGGAAAUUUGGACAUUUUGCUGAUACAUGUGGAUUUAGAAAUACUAAUAAUGCAUUACUUGAAGGGUGUCAAAUAUAUGGCAAGAAGAACCAUACUGCUCAAUUCUGUUACUUCAUAAAUGCAAAUAUAUCUGGAAAUACUCCUUAGAUGACUGCAAUGCAUGUGGCUUCCUCACAACCUACUCCAAAUUAUAAUGCUUCUUCUUAGCAAUUCUGGCUUACAGACUCAAAAGCAACAAAUCAUUUAACUACUGACUUGCAGAAUCUAUCCUUGUCUACUCUAUUCUCAUCCACAAAGACAAUUCAAACUGCAAAUGGUGCAGGUUUACCAAUAUCACAUAUUGGAUAUUCUCUCAUUCAUACACCUAUGCAACUUUAGAAGCUUAAUUCAGUCCUAUAUGUUCUAAGAAUUACUCAGAAUUUGUUAUCUAUGCAUAGGAUUUGUCUAGAUAAUAAUUGCUGGCUAAUCUUUGAUGCUUUUAAUUUCUAGAUUCAGGACAAACCCACAAAGAGGAUUCUGUACAAGGGGCAAUGCAGUAAUAGGUUAUAUCCAAUACCAAUAUCAAGACAUGUUGCAGUUCAUCAUCAAGCAUUCAAAGCUGCAUUACUUGGAUAACAAGUUAAUUCCAGUUUCUGGCAUAGUAGGCUAGGUCACCUAUCUAAUUCCAUUGCCUUAACUAUACUUAGAAAGUCUAAUAUUUCAGUACCUUUUGAUGUAUCACCUUCACUAUGUCAUUCAUUUUUACAAGGAAAAUUUAGCAAAUUGCCUUUCUCUCCAUAUGUCUCUAAGUCUGUAAUUCCAUUUGAAGUUGUUCAUAGUGAUGUAUUGGGUCUUGCUCCCUGUAAUUCCAUUGAUGGAUAUAGAUACUACGUGACAAUCAUUGAUGAAUGCACUAGAAAUUGUUGGUUAUUCCCUUUGCAUAAUAAAAGUGAAGUGUGUUUUGUAUUCAUUGGUAUAUAUCAGUUCAUUUUCAAUCACUUUGCAGUUUCAAUUAAAACUUUACAAAGUGAUGAAGGGGAAUAUACAAGUAAAGUUUUUCAAUCUUUCUUGUUAGACAAGGGAAUCACUCAUCAAAUAUCAUGUCCUCAUACCCCUAGAACAAAAUGGGUUGGCAAAAAGAAAGCAUAGACACAUUGUUGAAACCUCAAUCCCACUGUUACAAUCUACAUCUUUACCUGCCAUUUUCUGGUCUUUUGCCUGUCAAACUGCAAUAUACCUGGAUGCCAUCAUCAACUUUACACAAUCAAUCACCAUUUGAGGUCUUAUUUUAGUAUGUUCCAGAAGUCCAACAUCUCAGGAUAUUUGGUUGUGCAUGCUUUCCAUUAUUGAAGCCUUAUACCAGUAACAAGUUACAACCAAAAACCAAAAAAUGCAUUUUUCUGGGAUAUGCAUCUAAAUACAAGGGACACAUAUGCUUUGAAAUUAGUUCAAAGAGGGUUUACAUUUCUAGACAUGUCAUAUUUGAUGAGUGUGAUUUUCCAUAUCUUUCACUUUCACAAAAAACAUAUGUACUUCCAACCAGUUCCUUUUCUAAAGCUUCUUUAAAACCAGUGUAUGUCACAAGUGAAUACAAUGUUGUUGUAGCAUUACCAAAUCUAUCUAUGUUUAUUCCUAGCCUUACACCUAGACCUGCUAGUGCCAGUGAUCAAUCUUAAACACCAUCUAAUGUCAGUGGCUUAUUUGAGACACCAUUUGGUAAUGCCACAACAACAAAAGACACAAGACAAGCCAUUACUAGCACUUUACUUCAGUUUAUCUCCUCUACAAUCCCUAUGGCUCCUGAAUUCAACCAGAAAACUUACAAGUUGUUCUGCCUAUACCUCUAUUAAACUUGCAUCCUAUGCAAACAAGGUCAAAGAAUGGAAUUAUAAAGAAGAAAGCUUUUCUAGCCAUGACAUCUAAUAAUGCAUAAGUUGAUUUAUCCCAGAUUGAACCAGUUUCAUAUAAGUCUUCUCUUAAAUCUCCAGUGUGGUUUACGGCUACGGAAGAGGAAGUACAAGCAUUAUACUCUCAGAACAUUUGGUCUUUGGUCACCUUACCAUCAAACAAAAACCUUGUAGGGUGUAAGUGGAUCUUUAAGAUUAAAAGACAUGCAGAUGGAACCAUUUCAAGGUACAAGGCUAGAUUUGUGGAUAAAUGAUUCAAUCAAAAGGCAGGUAUAUAGACUAUGGUGAAACAUUCGAUCUUGUGGUUAAGCUUACUACAGUAAGGCUUGUUCUUGCAUUGGCUACACAUUUUGGUUGGUCUAUGAGACAGCUCGAUGUAAAAAAUGCAUUUCUGCAUGGAAUCUUACAAGAAUAAGUUUAUAUGACACAACCUCUUGGCUUUGUGGAUUCUCUACACUCUACCUCAAUUUGCAAACUUCACAAGUCCUUAUAUGAUUUAAAACAGGCUCUAAGGGCAUGAAAUGAGAGAUUUACUAAUUUCUUACAUUCUCUAGGUUUCCAAACCACUUAUGCAGACACAUCACUGUUUGUCAAACAUGUUGGUUCUGAGGUGAUGAUUCUCUUACUUUAUGUUGAUAAUAUAAUCAUCACAAGGAGUGCAAAUGAUGCCAUAAGAGAAAUCAUUUCUGCAUUAGCAACAAAAUUGAUAUCAAGGAUCUAGGACCUCUACACUACUUUCUUGGCAUUCAAAUUACACAUAAUAAAGAAGGAUUUUUCUGUCUCAACAUAAAUAUGUUAAUGAUUUGUUAACAAAAACAGAAAUGCAUCAAGCAAAGCUCUGUGCUACCCCUUGCUUACCUUAUAACAGACUUCUUAAAGAUGAUUGAGUACCUUUUAACAACCCUGAGUUAUACAGAAGCAUAAUGGGAACUUUGCAGUAUCUCACCUUUACAAGACCUGAUAUUGCAUUCUCUAUGCACCAGGCCUAUCAAUUCAUGCACUGUCCUACGGAAUCACAUUAUUUGGCUAUGAAAAGGAUACUUAGAUACCUCAAAGGUACAUAGAAUUAUGGCAUUCAAUAUGUUAAAGGAGGAUUGGAGUUAAAUGCAUUCAGUGAUGCUGACUGGGCUGGGAUCCCAAUGAUAGAAGAUCCACAACUGGAUUGAAUGUUUUCUUAAGAUACAAUCCAAUAUCUUGGUCUUCAAAGAAACAAAACACAAUGUCUCGUUCAUCCACUGAAGCUGAGUAUAAAGCAAUUGCUACAACAGCUGGUAAGAUUUAUUGGAUAAGACAGUUACUUGCCUUUUUACAAAUCUCAAUCCCAACUCCAUCUACAAUGUUCUGUGACAGUCUUUCAGUUAUUGCCCUUACCUACAAUCCAAUGAUGCAUCAAAGAACAAAGCACAUAGAGAUUGAUGUGCAUUUUGUGCGAGAAAGAGUUGCCAAACAACUAAUUCAAAUGCAUUUUGUAUCUUCCAAUGAAUAAUUUGCUGAUAUUCUGAUUAAAGCAUUAUCCGCACCAUUGUUUCAUACUCAUUGCUACAAUCUCAGGCUCCGUGGUUCCUCUCCUGAGCUUGAGGGAGGAUGAUAAUAGUAUAAGAUGAAUGGUCAGAUAGGGUGCCAUGUGUCAAUGGAUUAGUAUGGUUGGUAUAAGGUAGUUAAAGGUUGUUGAGAUUGUAGUGACUCAGUGUGCAAGAAAGCUUUGUUACUUAGAAGAAUAUAUAACAGUUUGUAAGAAUUGUAUUACUAAUAAGAAAAUAUACAAGAAUUCAUUUUCCCUCUCUCUCUCUCUCUCUCUCUCUAAAAACCUCCAUUAUUGUUCUGCAUUACUGCAACAUAAUAUGUUGGUCUAAACUACCUUGUAUUUUACAUAUUGUUGGCAAUUCUAAACAAAAAGCUUGAGUAUGUAAUGUCUUAGAUUAGUAUAUGUUUUCCGUUGUAAGUAUAUUAAUUUAAAUUUGUCUCUCGUGCUCUCAAUCACAAGAAUGUCAAGCAUUUCCAAGACAUCCACUCAAGUAAGUGUGUCAUGCAUAUGCAUUUACAUAGUAUAGGCUGUUUAGUUUUGGUGUUAACAAUUAAGUUUUGGGCUUGCAUGCAUGUUAAUUAGAAUGACAUGAUUUUAGAUCGGCAGAGAAUCCUAGUUGUGCUGCUUGUCUUAGCAUGUGUUUAUAUGCUGAUAACCCGUAUGUCCUUAUCCCAUUCAGUUUUUUAUCUGGCCAGGAUGAUAGGUCCUCAUCCUACUAAUUAGGUCCGCGUUUUUGUUAUGCCUCGCAUGCAUAUCUGGUUUGGUUGAAAAACCUUAUCUUGGUUAAUAACGUGUGAUUAGGUUUUGGUUGAAAACCUUUUUGUUCUAAGUCAGCACGUUUUUUAUGAAUGUGAAAUAUAUUGCAGAAAUAUAUCAAUUAUUUAUAUGAUCAAAUAUAUCAAAUCAAAUGUAUAAUCACUGUCAAACUUAUGAACUUUAAAUUAGGAAAAAAUGAAUAAGAAUAUCUGGCAUGUGAACCAAAAAGAGGCGCGAUGUCGCUGCCCUAAAGCCGUAUAUGCCUCCCUACAUGUAGGUUAUGGCGGUGCCUACAACUCCAAGAUACAACCCAAAGCCUCACAUGCACGCCAACGGCAGAAGGGAUUGUCAAGUAGUGAUCAAUUGACCAAGAAUUAUGAAGUAGGAAUGAAAAUUGAGAUGUGAAAACUGAGAGAGACAGAAAAGUUUUAGUGUAUUUUGUUUUGUGUCUGAGGUUUCAUAUUUAAAGAACUUCUCAUACCCUUUUAGAAAAGGAUUAUGACUCUUCAAAUAAAACACAACUCUUAAAUAUUAAAAAUAAAUAAAAUAAUAAUAAUAAGUUUUGAAUCUUUAAAAUAAAAUAUUAUUAAAAUAAUUAAAAUAACCAACAAUGAUUUGAUUGGAUGCCUAUAUAUAGGCAUUAGAUUAGGCUUUUAGGCCUCGUUUGGCACGCCGUAUAAGACCACCGGUGUAACAUCCCACAUUGACUAACGGAGAAGGGAUGAUGUGCCUUAUAUGUACAUGCCCACCUCCUAUAGCAUGAGGCUUUUUGGGGCCUCACUGACUUCAGAUUCUAUUGGAACUCAGUAGUUAAGCGAGUUUGGGCAAGAGCAAUCCUAGAAUGGGUGACCCCUAGGAAGUUCUUGCGUGAGUUCCCAGAAACAAAACUGUGAGGGCAUGGCUGGGGUCCAAAACGGACAAUAUCAUGCUUCGACGAAGUCGAGACUGGGAUGUGACAAAAUGGUAUCAGAGCCACUCUACCAUUCGGCGCAAGUGUGCCGACAAGAACGUCGGGCCCCUAAGGGGGGUGGAUUGUAACAUCCCACAUCGACCAACGGAGAGGGGGUGAUGUGCCUUAUAUGUACAUGCCCACCUCCUAUAGCAGGAGGCCUUUUGGGGACUCACUUGCUUUAGAUUCCAUUGGAACUUUGAAGUUAAGCGAGUUCGGGCGAGAGCUUCUCGAGUAGUUCGGGUGAGAGCUUCUCGCGUGAGUUCCCAGAAACAAAACCAUGAGGGCAUGACCAAACAAUAUCGUGCUACGGCGGAAUCGAGACUGGAAUGUGAUAACCAAAUAGUAUUAAUAGUACGAAACAUGUGUUUUGUGAGCUUCAUAUUAAAUAAGCACCGGAUUUUUUAAUCCAGGCCCACUUAUUUUAUACACCUCCAACCCGCUUGUUUAUCCCAACCAAAACCUUUGGAUAAUUAGUCGAGUAGAAUGGCUCUCUUUGCUUACUCCGUCAUUCUCUAUCGCUUCUUCGUCCCUCUCCUUCUCUCGCAACACUCUCCUUCCACUUUUUCACAUCGCCUGCACUCUCUUGUCUGGAUCCCAAGUUCAUCUUCGCCCUUCUUCUUCUUUUCUCUCUUUGUUCCUCCUUCCUCCUUACACACACACACACACACACACACCUCCCACCUACUCCAUUCGCCUUCGAUCUCUGACAAGUGACAACAAAACCUUCCAUAGGUUGAAGGAGGAAGACGAUGAUUCGAAUUCUUCCAAUUUGGAUUCUGACAAAGAAGGGAGCCGGGCUCCGACGAGGACGGGGAUAGCAAUUCGGAUCUGGGCUCUGACGAGGAGCCUGUUGGUUUAUUACCAUUGAAAAUAUUCAAUCUGGGAUUUUAAUUUUGGUUGGUGAAUCGAUGAGUGGGUUUGUAUGGAGGGUGGGAUUUGAUAAGUUAUAGUAAAUAUUUCUGGUAUUAUUUUGGGUAUUUACCAUUUGGAAGAGAAUUACUCCAGCGUGGAACACAGGUUUACUGUCAAAUCUUGUUCUUAUGUUCAAUGCAUCUGGUUCUUUAGCAUGUAUUUUUCGAACUUGUUUCUUCCUGCCAAAUAACAAAAGGCAUGAAAUUUAUUAUGAAUGCUUUGUGAAUGAGUUGCCUUGCUGAGCAUUUUCACAUUAUUGCCUCUUAUUAUGCAGGUUGUGUUGGCAGCUAAUGACUUGCCUUCUAUCAAUGAUGUAACUUACACUGAACUAAUUGAGAUUAUAUCAAUGAUGUAUCUUCCCUUUUCUUAUCUGGUUCAAUAUCAAACACGGUAUAAAUAAUACGAUCAUUAGUCCGAUACUGCACCAAAUGCCCGACUAAUUUAAUCAGUAUUAUCCGUAAUUUAAUCAGUAUUAUCCAGUGGCUAUUUAUCCUAUCCAACAGAAAUAGUCAGUACAUUCCGAGCUGCCAAACGAGGCCUAAGGUUUGCUGCUGCCGCAUAUAACACAUACAGGUAGAGAGGAUUAGUGCACGCGCUAGGUUUUUAGAAGUGAUCAUCAUAUCAUAAUCUUUGCUACUGUAGCGUGCAUUAGACUAGGUGGUUUUGGAAUGCUGCUUUUGAGUUUUGAAAGAAAAUAUACAAAAUAGAUGCAGCACGUGAAUAUGUUUUUGAGUUUUUGGGUUACUUCAUAUAGGAACGGCUAUCGUUUCCAUCUCAUUGUUUUGAUGGUUCUCAGGUCAAUGCAUAUUCACUACAAGUGUAGUCCUUAUUAUUUUAUCUGGGUUGUCUCGCAUAGUAAUAUUUGCACAGAGAACAUUAUACGAGUGUUGCAGCAAUAGUGUGUGAGGAAGAAAAGAGUUUUCAGCCGUGUGGUUUUAAAAGAUAAAAUUCAGUUUUUCUUUAUUGAUUUUCGUUGUGCUUUAAACCGAGACAAAUUAUGAAAAUAUGCUUUGUCAUUUUUGUAAUUGGUUGACUUUCAUAAACCAUUUCAUAUAUACAUUCCAUGAUCGCGUUAGUAUCUUGCAAAGUUCGAGGAGAUAGUUAUUGACGGCCGGGUUAAUGUCGUGCCACUUCCACUCAAAGGCUAAAGAGAGAUUGAGUAGUAAAGCGCAGAGACAAAACUGCCUACUAGUAUGCAUGUUUAGUUGAGUUGAUGAGUUUUGUAAGUCUUUAUGUACUCAUGUGUUUGUCUUGGCUUGGGAGCUCAGGGAUUUUGCCAAUGGUGGCCUCGUUAAAUCCUGUAACGAUCCGUCCCAAAUUUUAUGAAUUUCGAAAUGAGGGUAAAUUGGUAAUUUCACGUGUGGGAGAUAUUUUGCAUGUUUGUCUUUUUUGGGCUUGUUUAGUGUGUCAGUGGGGUCCAUCCCUUUGUUUUGGUCUCCUGGCCCUUUCUCCUUCUUCCCUCUCCCCGUCACUCUCUAUCUCUCAUCUUCAUUCUCUCUCUCUCUCUCUCUCUCUCUCUCUCUCCCUCCCUCAUUCUCUAUGCUCAUCUCUCUACAACUCUCUCUUUCUUUGAACUCACACACAACACCACCUCCACCAUCACUAGCCUCGCCACUCUGGCGAACCCCAUCACCCUGAGGACCUCCCCGUCGUGACCUUGGACCACCAAGGCUCCUCCUCCUCUUUCCCUCUCACUGUACAGUGUCACUGUCACUGUUCAAAAUGUUCUUCGGAGAACUCUUGCCGAUAUCGACAUGGGUAAGCUUUGGAAACACUCUAAACCUUCUCAUUUUGUCGUCGUAGUUCGUUUUUAUUGUUCUUGUGUGUUAUGGAUGUCGAAGCAUCACACAAACAGCUCGGGGAGACUUCCCCAAAUUCCGGCGAGAACCCAAGCCUUCUAGGCCAUUUUCCAGCCAAUUUCGGCCACGGCUGGCCACGACAUAGGUAUAAUAUUCUUCCUUGUUCUUGGGGCUUCAAUUUGGUAUAUUGAAUGACUAGUUUUAAUUGAGAUUUUGGGAUGAAUGGAGCUCUCCAAGCUCCCGCUUUCUUGUUUCUGGAGACCUGCUGAACCACAACCUGAAAACGGGUCGACCUGACCUGCAACCCAAAACCCAAUCCAAAACACUAUUCUGACCCGACUCGAAUUCGAAUGGAAUAUUCUUUGUGUUGAUUUUCCUAGAAUAUUCCUUGUGUUGAUUUUUUGUUGACUUUUACGAAAUUUUCCCGGGACCCCUCCUAGACUAAUUUCGAUGUCCUGAUUCCAAAUCCUCACUCUGUUUUCCCAAAUUCAAUUGUUUAAGUAAAGUUUUACUGAUUAGUCCUUUUAUGUGCUUAGGUACAAUUGUUAGUGACGACCUCGUCCUCUCUAGUUUGAGCGGCUCUUCGGUGACGAAGUAUCUGUGAGUGGACCCCUUCUAAAAUGCACGAUUUUAUUGCUAGAAAUGCAUACAUGAAAAUCAUGAUUAUAACUAUGUUUUAUGAAAUGUUUAUGGGUUAUCCGAACUAUGCUUUAUAAAAUGUCAUGCUUUAUCGGAUUUAUGUUUGUUGAAAUAUUUAUGAAUAUGGUUUUAUGAUAUGAUGUUUGAGUUAUUGAGCUCUGAUGAGAUAUAUUUUGGAAAGAUUAUGUUCAUAAUUUUAUGUGCUUACUUAGUGGAUAUUCAUAUAUAUAUGUGCCUUCGGGCGGGCAAUGUAGUGCCUUCGGACGGAAGAUAUAUGUACUUUCGGACGGACGAUGUAGUGCCUUCGGGCGAUUGUGAUACCACUACUAAGCACACUAUAUAUGAUAUAUGUUUUAAUCCAAGGUUCUAGGGCAUGCUAGUGUUUUCGGAAAAAACCUAUUAUUUAUUAUGCUAUAUGAGUUUCUAAAACUGGGGGUUAGUACAUUUGAAGAGUAGUUGAUUUUAGUAUUACUUAUAUAUAAACUUGGUCCGCUCAUGCUUUGUUUUACGCCUCCUUCAGGACUUAGAAUCGAGGCGUACACUCCCGCAUCUGUAUCUUCGAGUCCUCUUGGUGUAGGACCCAAUCCUUUGUUCGCACCUUUUCAUAAUAUUCCUUCUACAAUAUUCUUGAUUAGUUGUAUGCUUUGAACAUGUUCACACAUUUGCAUAUUCAUUAUAGUUAAGUUUAUGUGUUUUAUUUUACGUUCGUUCUUUCUUCAUAUUUUUACAUGCAUGUUAAUAUGGCUUCGUCACCUUCGGGUGUCGGUCAGAAUGUGUUUAUCUUGGUGUUUGGAGGAUAUUGGGGUCGGGCAUGUCAAAUCCUACAUCUUGUGUGCAUUUUUUAUUUAUCUUUUUAACUGCAUAUGUGUAGGAUAGUUUGAUAAGUGACUGAAAAUUGAAUUGGAUUUUUAAAUUGAAACCUAUUCACCCCCUAGGUAGUACCACCCUAGAACUUGCACAUAUUAUUAUAAAAAAUAGUAUUACUACCAUCUAUUUAUAUAAUCUCUAAUAGAAAUAAGAUAAACAUGUGUUGAUGGGCUCACCUCUAUUAGAGAGAUAAUACAAAUAGAUGGUAAGUAUAUCAAUUAUUAUGGAUUUGGGUUUUGUCCCGUAAGUGAUGUCUAUAAGAUCUAUAAAGUGGUAAUGAUUAGGAAUGCCAGCGGAGAGGUAAUGGUUAUGACUGUUGGUUCCUGGUUUUGGAGAAUAGGGAUUCUGAUUACACUUUGGUGUUUCAAUCAUUAUCGUCUCCUUUUGAUACGUGCCUUUAACCUUGAAAAUGAGCAUUUCCAACAGUUACCACUACCACCUUGUUCUCCGAUUUGAAACGGUCUAGCUUUUUCCUUGGAGUCUUGAAAGAUAGGCUCUCUAUAACUAUGCGCUCGAUGGCUAGUAUCAAUGCUUGAGUGAUGCAGGAGAGUGAUGUCAAGCAGUGGUGGACAAAGGAGCUGGAGAUUCGCGUGAGUCGUCUGGUUUUUGUAUUACUCGAGUAUUGAAGUUUACAGAUGAGGGGCAACCGGGGCAAGUCUUGUCGUUUAACAAGUCUCGCUUAGAGACUAAUACUCGUAGAAGAAAGGGCCCUGUGAGGGUUGAGGACCUUGAGGUGGAUGGGCUACCAUGCGCAGUUGAUACACCUUGCUUUCAUGUUUCAAGCUUUGUUUCGCUUAAAGAUGCCAUGAGGGGUUAGAGCUCGAAGCUAGGUAAGAUAUGCCAAUGCUAGUACUAGUUAUGUUUGUUUUUGCAAUUUUGUGCAAAUUUGGUGGUAAUUUGUUUCCAUUCAAUAUAUUUCAUUUACUUUUUUUUUUUUUGAAUUGUUAUUAGUACUCCAAAAAUCUCAUUCUACACUCAAAACUUUCUAUAUUAGGAAAUAAAAAUACAUUCGUGAGAAGUGUAAAAUGAGAUUUUUGGAGUCCCAAUAACACUUUUUUUUUUUCCUAUAUAGUUUUAUUUUAUUCCAAAGAGAGAAUAAUUGCUAAUGGUGACCGUUGUUGUGCCCACAAUUUGAACGAAUGUUGCGAGAGGAAUGUUGAAAAUUUGCUUAAUUGUGAAAAGCUUUUCUGGUGAGACUUUGAGAAAGCCAUCACGUGGGCUUUGCAAUUUGGUUUUGUACAGUCAAUUCACUUUCUGUUCCUCACAUCACCUUUGUUGGGUGAGAGUUGCUAUCUGCCCAUUACGUGUAACUUUUUACUUCACUUCCUCUUGCAUUUAUUUUGGCUUCUCAAGCAUUCUUGCUGGUGAGUGCAUAUAUUAAUGUGCACCUAGGUAGAGCCGUUCGACAGAUACAGAAAAAGCUAGCGCAGCAAAACCAUUUGGUGAAGAGGAAAAAAGUACUCUCUUGUUCAUCGGUUUUGGGUGCUGUCAACUUUAUUGAAAGAGCCCAAUCAUCUCCUCUUUGUGACUAAAGAUUGUCACACCAUUUGGAGCAAGAAGGAAACCUUUCUUUGGUUUUAGGGGCUGCUGCUCAUCUGAUAAAUUUCUCUCGCUUUUUUGCUUUUGGUGUUUUGCUUCACACUUCCGUAAGAGCUUUUGUAUGUUUGCAGAGCAAGAACUUGAGAAUUGUUCUUGGCACAUCUAUGUGGGAGAGUGACGUGUAUUUGGGUUUUAGGUUGUGAGAGCUUAAACAAUUUUUUAAUCUUUAUUUGAUAAAGAUCGUUUAGAAAGUGGGACUAAUAUUCUCACCGUUUCCUUACUAGACGUAGACUUACACCGAACUAGUAUACGUCCUUGUGUUAAUUGGAUUUCUGUAUUUAUCAUAUUUUACCUUGUUAAAUAUUUGCCUCAUAUCUGAAGCUUCCGCAAAACAAGGGAAACCAUUAUUAAACAUAGAAUAGUUGGCUAUGUUUGUGUAAAUUCAGGGGAGCUGCAGGUUUAAUUUACACAACUAAAAUUAGUUUUGGGUUUUUUUAUUCUAUAUUUAUAGGAGUGCCUAUCCAAAUGGUAUUUGCAAACAAUGAUGAAAUCCUAUAUAUGUCUGUGUUAUGAAACUUGAGUCAGCCAAACAUGAUUUUGUAUAUUUCUUGCUUUUAUGGUGGCAUUAUAUAUACUAACAAAAAUCAUUAACCUUCCUGCAUCUCCCAGGUUUAUUUCUGCAUGUGUUCCUAAAACACUAGAGAUGUAAGAGUGCGAGUUGAAAGAGUUGGUUUCUGAGUUCGAUCAACUUCCUAUAAUAUAUAUAGGGGUGUGAUAUCUACACACCUUAUUUUACUUCUCACACAUUUUUUUUAUUUUCGGCCAUCAGAUUGGAUGAAUUGAAGAAGAUCAACGGACAUAAAUUAUCAAGGGAUGUGUGAGAAGUAAAAUGAGGUGUGUGGAUAGCGGCUCUAGAUUUGCUGUCCCCAAAAAUAUGUCUCGUUUAUGUCUCCUUGCUAAUAUGUUGACACAUGUCAUUUAACUUAACCUAAAACUAACUCUGUUAAUUUUAUUUAUUUAACAUUUAAAUUAAAAAAAUCCCAAAUAAUAAAAAAAAAAACUGUUGGGUUAAUGAGGUGAGCAAAUGAGAGCUGUGAUUCUCUGAGGUCGUUCCCUUUGGGCAUUUUCCCCAACCUUUCAUCUCUUCGUAUAGGAAAUUUUGAGAAUCUGGAAUCUCUUUCAGUUGAAGGAGGAGCAGAUGAAAAUCUCAGCCAUCUCAACUCCCUGGAUAUUUGGGUAUGUCGAAAUCUUGUCUCUUUUCCCGAGGGGGGUUUGCCCACUCCCAACCUCACUUUCUUUGAUGUCUACGACUGCGAGAAUUUGAAGUUGUUGCCGGACCGAAUGCACACCCUCACCGCCCUUCAAACCUUAUUGAUACGCAGUCUUCCAAAUCUUGUCUCUUUUCCUGACGGAGGAUUGCCCACUCCCAACCUGACUUACUUUAAAGUAGGGGAUUGCGUGAAUUUGAAGUUGUUGCCGGACCGAAUGCACACCCUCACCGCCCUUCAACGUUUGGAGAUAUCCAAUCUUCCAAAUGUGGAGACGUUGCUCAAUGAACAGAUGCUCCCUGCCACUCUUCACGCUCUCGAAAUCUCUUAUGCAUCUUAUCUGAAAACUUUGGACGGAAAGAGUUUUGAGCACCUCACUUCUCUUCAACAGCUACAAAUCGAAGGGUGCGAGAGUCUCGAAUUCCUGCCAAAAGAGGGUUUCCGGCAUCUCUUUCUUAUCUGAAGAUCCGGGGUUGUCCUCCUCUGAAGAAGAGGUAUGGGAACAAAAAGGGAAAAGAUUGGAGAAGCAUAGCUCGCAUUCCUUGUAUAGAGAUAGAUGAUGAAAUCACCAUAUGAGCUUUCAUUUCGUUAACCCAACAAUAAUUAAAGUUAACAGAGUUAGUUUUAGGUUAAGUUAAAGGACAUGUGUCAACAUAUUAGCAAGGAGACACAAAAGAGACACUUUUAGGGCCAGCAAAUCUGGAGCUGUGGAUAGCACACAUCUAUAUAUACUUUGAGUUAUAUUGUUGUUUUGUUGGUUAGAAAGGGUUGUAGGUUUCCAUAUGCUUGUGUUUUAUUACGUCCAAAACGUAGGAGCUUUGAGCCAGAAAUGAAGCAUUUGAGAAUUUUCUUCAAGUGUGAUAGGAAACUGAACUUCCUGCUCAGGUGCUGCUAUGCAUUUGGCAUCAUUGGUUGAAAGAUUUAGUGGUACAUCUGUUUCAAUUUUGGCGUAGGUGACUGUACUUAUUAUCAUUUAAGAGAAUAGGGAUCAUCAGAUAUAGUGGUAAAGCCAUAAAUUAUCACAGAAAUGAGCGAAAUUUAAACAGGUAAAAGAGUAUAUGACUGUGAAGACACGUGAUAUUAUGAGCCUCUAGAAACACACGCGAGCGCGCACAAAUAUAUAUAUAUAUAUAUAUAUUUUUUUUUUUUGAACAAACACGUAGACAUAUAUAUGAAACAAUUGAAAAAUGUAAAAAAAUUCGUGAGAAGGAAAAUAAUUAUUUUUUGGGUAAUAACAAAUAUAAAUUAUGAAAAAAAAAAGAGGCUUAUUUAGACCAACUCUGACUCUUAGAGUAAGUCCUAAAAUUUACCUUCUAUUUCCCCUCAAUUUCCUUCCAACCUUAGGCCAAUUUGGGACUAUAGGUUGGGACUAUAGGUUAGAAGCUAAAAUUGGACCAAAUACCGGCCAGAAAAGUGGGCUGGAUUAGUGGUGUGCCCCACUUUUGCGUGUGAACGCGCUCCAAAACUUGGCAGCGCAGCAAGAAUGACACGCCCAUGCACGGAACGCACUGGGAGAUGAGCAGCUGGUGGUCCCAUGCACAUGGAUCUUGUUGGCCACCCAUCAGAGCCCAAUGACUCUUUUUCUCAUCCAAGGGUUGUGCUUCACUGGACCGUUGGAUCCAGGUUCGAAUUUGUGUUUUUUUUUUAGUUUAUAUUUAUAAAUUUAUUAAAUCUAACAGCUGAGAUUGAAUAUAAACCAAAUCUAAUUAUGGAAAAAAAAAUUUUAAAGUUAAAAUUUAAAUCCAACUGCUAAAAUAAUUUAAAAUUUUAUUUAACUCAAAAUUCACUCAAAAACUCUAUAAAUGCCUAUAUAUUUGUUCAAACAUCCACUCAAAAUUCACCUUUCUCCUACAAUUCUUUCAAUUUUUCAUUCUACCAUCUUCCAAAACCAUGUGUUUUGUGUUUAUUCAUCUCUAUCAUGUGUUUCAUAUUCUUCCAUAGUGUUUCAUGAGUUUUAUAUAUUGAUUUAGUGAUUUUUCAAUAUUGAUCGGGAUUUAAAUAUUUUUAGGUUAAAAUGUUCAUAAAAUUAAUUUAUGAUAAUCUACAUAAUUUUUUUAAAGUUAUUUUAAAAAAAUAAAAUGAUUAAAUUUAUUUUUUAAUAGUAUGGGGGUAAAAAUUUAACCCAUAAGGGUUAAAGUAAAAAAACUACUUCUCAAUUAAAACAUAAAUAUUCUGAGCUAAAAAUUUUAUGUUUUAACUCAAAUGUUGAAGAUGCUCUCAAAGGAGGGAGAAGAAACAGGAAAAAAGGGAGGAAGAGAAGGACGGGGAAAAGUGGGUAGGGAAUGCCUCAAACUUAAAAAAACUCAAAAUGGUAAAAUAUCGAGGAUUUGACAGUCCUCGUUCUCACGUUGAGGCAGAGCCAUAGAGAGAGAAGGGUAGAGAGAGGAUGGAGAACCAUAAGCAGAUAGAGAAGGAUGAGUGGGGCCAUGGCAGUGGAGACGGCGAUGUGGCUGUAGUUUGCUGCUCUGUUGCUUCUUCUUUGAAACCGCUUUCCUCUUCUGGUUCUCCACCCCCAAACUCAAGCUUUGAAACUCUGCAAUUCAACUUUCAACUCUGUAAUCGAGAAGAAGAAAGGUAACAAAAGAGAUGAAAGUACCAGAGGGGCGGAUUUAACUCGUAGGGUCAAUUUCUGACGAUUGAAGGUGCGGCCGCACCUCCUUAGAGCUUUGUGGCUUCCCCACUGAUCAGCUAUAGAAUCUGGUGUUCGGUGUUCCACAUAAACCCAAAAGCUAGAAUCUAGCUAUAGGGAUCAUCACAUCACAUAAAGCUCAGUGUGAAUUGGGAAUUUUCCUAGUAGCUAGUGGUAACUAGAGAUUUUGCACGAGAGCCUGAUGUCAGAAUACAAAGAAGUUCUUGUUCACCAUAUGUAUUCUUGAGAGAGAAAGAGAGAUUUGAGAGAAUAGCAAUCUUAGAGAGAGAAAUGAAUUGUAUCUUGUAUGUAUUGAAUUAAUGAAUGUGUUACAAUAUCUACACAUAUAUAUAGACAAGGCUAUCUUAGUCACUAAGUAAGUUAACAAACUUUAACUACCUAGCAACCUAAUCUACGUACACUUGUCAAUAUCUGAAACACCUAAUACAUCUUUACACCUGAUGGUUAUCUUGUUCGUAAUAACCAGCAAAGUUCAUCAUUAAGGUAUAGGGUUUUUAUCACAAAUGGUCCCUGACAUUGAUCAAACACAUCAUUUUGGUCCCUGACAUUGAAAAUCAAUAGAAAUGGUCCCUGACAUUGAUCAAACACAUCACAAAUGGUCCUUCCGUUAAAAACUUUUUGGGCAAUUUUCAAAGCUUCGUAACUCAAUCGUUUCUUAACCAAAUUUGACCCAUGAUAUAUCAAAAUGAAGAUAGGCAAGUGUAGAACAAGAUUAUACCGAUUUGGAAGCUCAAUGGUUGCCGGAGAUGGCCGGAAAGUAGCCUCAAAUGUGAUUAGUCCGCGAAAAAACUGGAAAACUCGCCUGAAAUGGGGUAAACUUUAAACAUUCAUAACUUCUUCAAUACUCAACGAAAUUGAGUGAUUCAAAAAUGAAAAUCAUACGUCUCAACGAGAAAAAGAGAAUGGUACCUUUAUUGACUACUAAUUUACUGUGGUUUGACCAUAAAAUGGCUUGAACUUGGAUAACCAUUUUCGAGUUAGCCAAUUUCGAGUCGUUUUCCGGCCAAACUAUGACAAGUUAGCCAUCAACAAAGAUACCAUUCUCUUAGUCUCGUCUAGAAGUAUGAUUUUUGUUUUUGAAUCACUCGAUUUCGUUGAUUAUUGAAGAAGUUAUGAAUGUUUAAAAUUUAUCCCAUUUCAGGCGAGUUUUCCAAUUUUUUUGCUGACCAGUCACAUUUAAGGCUAUUUUUCGGCCAUCUCCAGCAACCAUUGGGCUUCCAAAUAGGUACAAUCUUGUUCUACAUGUUCCUAUCUUCAUUUUGAUAUAUCAUGGGUCGAAUUUGGUUAAGAAACAAUUGAGUUACGAAGCUUUGAAAAUUGCCCAAAAAGUUUUUAACAGAAUGACCAUUUGUGAUGUGUUUGAUCAAUGUUAGGGACCAUUUCUAUUGAUUUCAAUGUCAGGGACCAAAAUGAUGUGUUUGAUCAAUGUUAGGGACUAUUUGUGAUAAAACCCUUAAGGUAUAUAUGUGUAUUCUCAUAUUAAAAAUAAAAAAUAAAAAAAGUAAAAAAUAGUGAAAGUCAUACAACGGGGUCAUAAAGUAAUUUCUCUUUUACAAAUAUGGUUUUCGAGCCAUUCCAAGCAUUUCUGUUGCAAGUUACAUAUGGCUAUUUGGAAGAAGCAUAAUAAAAUGAAGUUUGAAAGUAAGCUUGCUUCCUUUUCACGUCCUUGUUAUUUUAUUUUGGCCUGAAUUAAGUAGGUUGGAGUUUUCACUCUUGAUCAUGUGCAUGGUAUUUUGGAUAAGCAACUUGGGGUGUCUCUUGUAAUCUCGACUAAGUCCUGUAAACACCUACAAUUUCUGUUCUUUGGCAUCCUCCUCCAUUUUAUAGGGUCAAAGUGAAUAUGAAUGGCCUUGCUAAAAGUAAUCCAAGUUUUGUAGCUUGUGGUGAGGUUUUUCGAGAUUCUGUGGGUUAUUUUCUUGGUGGUUUCUCCUUGAGCUUAAGGCAUUGUACUUCUUUCUAUUCGAAGCUUCAUGUUGCCAUCUUAGUUGUAGAGUUGGAUCACACGCAGGGUUGGCAAGAUUUAUGGCUUGAAAGUAACUCUUCUACCGUGAUUUCUUGCUUUGCUUAUGGUUCUUUCUCUCCUAUUUGGUCGCUCUAGACUUGUCGGAAAACGGUAUUUCCCGGUUGCGGCACAUGGUAUUCCGUUGUUCUCAUAGAUUUCGAGAAAGGAAUGCAGUUGCUGAUAAAUUAGCCAAUUUGGGAUUUCUCUCGUCUUCACUUGUUUGGCAUGCCACUCCUUAUAGACAUUCUUCUUGUCUGCAUUCAGAUUUAUUAAGUAUGUCGACCCACAGGUUUGUCUCCUCUUUUUGAUAUGUCAUUUUCUUUUUUACCUAAUCUUUUUGGAUUCUCCUUUUUUGUUUUGUAGCUUGUCUUGCAGGUUCUUACAUUUUACGUGUUAUUUUAGAGAGGGUCGGUCAUAAGUCCACCCCGUUUUUGUUUGUAUUUUCUUUUCCAAGAAGGGUAAGUAUAUGUGUGAUAGCCCGUCCCUAAUCUUAAGAGUUUUUAAAGUUUUAAUAAAGGAUUUUACAAAAAUGCCCUUUGAGGUACGCGCAUUUUUUGAGGUUAAUCGUCAUGUCGUGCCAUCUAAGAUUUGUUUUCUUGGCAUAUCAUCGUAGUACUCGUCGCUACGGAUGCGUGGGCGUAGACAGUUCGUGUCGAAAAAGUUAUUGACGUUUGAAAUUUGGGAAUUUUAGGAAUUUUAAUUUUAGUAAAAUAUAGAAUUUCUUUUAUGAAAAUGGACGGCCCAGAUUUAAUGAAGAAUUAAAUGGAUGGCUGGGAUGAGAGAAAGAAGGUUUUGUGUGUGUGUGUGCGUGAGAAGAAGAAGAAUCAGAGGAAAAAGAUUGGGCAGAAAUGCCCAAUCGGGAAAAGAGAGAAGAAUGGAUCAAGAGGGAGUGAGAGAGAGAGUUCAGCGAAUGGAGAGAAUAGAGAGAGAGAAACCAGCCAAUAGGAACAGAGGACAGGAGGAAAGGAAGGAGAGAGUGGCGCGGGGGAUCGGCCGGAUCCCCCUUGGCCCGUUUUUGACCCGUCGGCAUCCAUGCCUAUUUCUGACGAUUUUCACCCAUUUUUCCGGCGAAUUGCUUCAAGAAACUUCAUGGGAAACACUCUAGGAGCCUUCCUCUAUCCAUUCCAUCUCAAAAUUGGAGAGAUUUGGCUUUGAAAAUGGAGAAAACCGCAAGGAGGGGUGCGGCGACUUUGGCUUCGAAUCACCCAAUCCCGAAGCAAUUUCUUUCAAUUGCCACCACCCAUAGCUUCCUCUUGAGGCCUAGAACAAAGCCCAAGCAUUGAUUGGAACGGCGGAGUUGAUUUGAAGACGAAUUGGAACUCACCCAAUUCUAGGGUUCUUCACGGUUUUGACGAAAUUGGAGCCUUUCCAAGCCAAAUUGGCCUUUGCCUCAGGUAUAAAGUUUACUCUACUUGUUGAGAUCUUCAAUUCUAUAUUUUUUGAGAAUUUUUAGAAAUAGUUGGAUUUUCCGGCGAGCCGAGGCGGCCAACCGCCACCCGUGGCGGCGCGUGGCCAGUGGCCCACCAAUGUCAUUCUUAGCAUGUUUUUAAUGUUCUAGGUUCAGUUUUGAUAAUUGAUUGACGUAAAUUGAGUAAUUGAACCUAAGUUAGUUACGAUUCGUGGUGAGGUGAAAAUGUGAAUUGACGAUCCGACCGUUGAUCGUCACCAAACUUUGAUACGUUGUAAUACGUAAUAUUUGAGGAUUAUAGGAACUGACGGAUUGGGAAUCCGAUUUACGGAUCUUCCGGAAACGGAGUUGUAAGUUUAUAAAAUAGAAUGUUAACCGUCACUUGAUUUUGACAACUGGCGGAGAUCCGACCGUUAGAUGGUAAUGGAAUUUUAUGAUGUUGCUCUAGAGAUAUAUUGUGGAACUCUGGAAGUUAUGGAUUGGAAAUCUGAGUUGUAGAUCUUCCGGAUCGAUCUACGUAGUGACAUGUUUUAUAUAAGUUAUAUAUUCUAUCAAUAUGAUUUCUGAGGUUUGAUUUGAUGAUUGUUCUAGGCCCUGAUCGUCAUGACGCCUUGAUGUAUUGUGCUAGGGAGUUGUAGGGCGAACUCCAGGUGAGUGGGCAUUAUUUUCUGUAUUUACCUAUAUACUACUGAAUUUCCCAGAAAUUGAAUUUAAAUGAAAGUAUGUUUUUAAAAUGCCAUGCAUGCAUAUUAUGAAUUAUAUGAAUUAGUAAUUGAUGCAUAUAUAUGUGAAUUGGUGUUGUGGACGCACAUGCGAGUAUCAGGUGAGUGUUAUGUUAUUUAUGUAAAUCAUUGAUGAUGUGAAUUGUGUUGAGAGCUCAUAACAUGCACCCCUGGUGUUAGUGCUUAUAGUAUUCAUCGCACCGUACACUCACCUUGGAUCCAAGUAGGUGCAUGUCGUACAGACCAUGAGAGGGUUCUGACAUGCUAGUCGUACAGAUCACUAGAGGUGGUUCCGACUGGUAGGUGACCUUAGAUUAUGUGCACAGAUGAUUGAUGAGAGAAACACUAGAGCGUAUUAUUACACCAUUCUUAUCGUACAGAUUACUUUAGGUAGUUCCGAUUUAUGUGUAGAGUAGUGCUGUACAGGUCACAGUGGUGACUCUGGUUGGAUUGGAUAUUGAGCUAUAGAAUUAACCGAACAGGACCAACUGCAGGGUCUCCGGUUGAUUCCUUAUUCCACCUGUUAUAUUGAUGCAUCUUUAUUAUGUUUUGAUGCAUAGCAUGGCAUAUUUUCUCGAAAAGUGUUAAAGACUUGUGAUUUGAGUUUUGAGAUUUUAUAUGGUUAUAUAUAUUCUAUUUUUCUGGGAAAGUAUACAGGUUUUACAGCGAGGGGUUAGAAAUGUUUAAAAUGAAAUGUUUUCGAAAAACUUUGUUUUACUAACCCACUUAAUUUUGUUUUGCGCCCCUCCAGGUUCAAGUUAGCAGAGCUUUGGUGGCCACGAGGAAUCCAACAAUGUUCUGACAAAAUUCUCAAAAGUAGGAUUCACCCUCGGGUGUUAUAUCCUAGUAAUUGUAUCUUUAAAGCUUCCAAACUGUGUAAAUGGUUACGUCACUCUCACGUGACGGCCAGCAUGCCCUCCUUCGGGAUGGGGUGUGUCAGUUGGUAUCAGAGCCUAGGUUGCAGUCCUGGACAUCUUGAGAAUUCCCUAGUGUCUUCUGUCAGAACUUUACCACCUCGUAGAGAGCCACUUUGUUCAGAUGAGCUUAGUUUCCCCGAUUUAAUUUAGUUAUAGGAGACUACUACUGAUGUGAUUCAGUCUAUUACCCAAAUGACUCCUUUUGAGAAUGGUUAUAGAUUGAAUUUGAAUCAAUUUAGGGAAAUGAAAGACCGGAUGGAGCAGAUCAAUGGCUUAAUCAUUUGGAAAAGGCAUUUCAGAUUCUGCAAAUUAAAGGAAUCUUUCUCUUGAAGGUAGGUCGAGAUGACUACCUGGUUUCUGAGUAUUGAAAUUGCAUCAUGGUGGAGAUAGGAGUCUUAUACGAUGUCACCAGAGGAAACAGCUGAAUGAGAAUUGUUUAAAGAGUUGUUUAAGAAAAGGUUUAUUCCUCCGGCAUAUAUGGACGGUAAGAAACAAGAGUUUACAAUUUGAGACAAGGAAAAGAAUGAGAAUCAAAGGAAGGAUGACCAAGGUAAAGGUCAUGUAUCUCAAGAACCUCGCAAGACUUAGAGCUUCAAAAGAAGUGGGGUUAAUUCUAGUUCUGCCAUCAGAGAUUUUAGUACCAUUGAUCAGAUACGAGGUGGUAGAUUUACUGGAGAUCCUAGAUUGCAGAGGCGAAGUGACUCUGGUAGAGGGAAUGUACCUUUGUGCUGUAAGUGCAAUAGCAUACACUUUGGAGAGUGUAGGCGAGAAAGUAGAUGAUGCUUUACAUGUGGACAAAUGGAACGUAGAACUGCAAGAUACUUAGAAUCUUUCGGGCUUGAUCAUGGGCACGUUAAACAUUCUUGGUUACUUUGCUAGAGUUUUAAUUGAUUGUGAUGUAGAAAUUUUAUGUUAUUAACGAUGUUGCCAAAGAAAGUAGUGAAUGAGCACGAUCGAGGCGUAUAUAUGUAUUUCUGAUGAAGAGCAAGAUGAUAAUAUUACACCCUUGAGAAUUGUUGCUUACUUAUCGAGACAACAGUGAGUUAUCAUUAUUGCGGGCUGCAGACCAUAAUAUCCAUAACUUAUUUGUUGGAUUCGUUAAGCAGGUAAACAAGUAGGUAAUUCUAUGUCGGUUAUGAUUAUUCAGGGUGUCCAGUGAUGGUGGAAGAAGUAGUUAUGCCAGCGAAUCUUAUCCCGUUAGACAUUGUGGAUUUUGAUGUGAUUUUAGGCACAUAUUGGUUGCAUUAUAAUCGUGCCAAUAUUGAUUGCUACGGGAAAUCAGUUACUUUCCAUCGUCUUGGAUUAUCAGAGGUUACUUUUGUGAGUGAGCAAAGUGGAAUGAGGCAUGCCGUUAUUUCUGUUGUGAGAACAAAGAGAUUGUUAUCAAAAGGUUGCCAAGGAUACCUAGCUCAUGUGGUGUUGCAGGAUCGUACUCCUAGUAUUUUGGAUGACGUACGAGUAGUAGACAUUUUCCUAAUGUGUUUCCGGAAAUAUUUACCUGGAUUGCCACCAGACAGAGAUGUGGUGUUCACUAUUGAAUUGUCUCCAAAUACAUAUUUUAUGUUAUAGAUUGGUUCCUGCAGAGUUAAAAGAAUUGAAAAUUCAGUCACAAGAAUUGGUUGAUAAAGGUUUCAGUCAACCUAGUACGUUACCUUGGAAAACCCCAGCUUUGUUUAUAAGGAAGAAAGACAGGACCUUAAGAAUAUGUAUUGAUAUUAGGUAAUUGAAUUGGGUAACGAUUGAGAGCCGUUAUCCAUUGUUGUGUAUUGAUGAUUAUUUGAUCAGCUCUGAGGCGCCUAUGUAAUUUCUGAGAUUGACUGGAGGUCUGGAUAAUAUUAGUUGAAGAUUAGCAGUGUGGAUGUUCAUAAGACUGAAUUCAGGACUCGUUAUGGUCAUUUCAAGUUAGUGAUGCCAUACAGAGUGACGAAUGCACCUGCUACUUUUAUGAGUUUGAUGAAGGAAGUAUUCCAGUGAUAUCUAGACCGGUUUGUUGUUGUUGCCAUUGACGAGAUUGAUAAGAUUAGAACGGAGCAUGCUAGAUAUUUUGAGUUGGUGUUGCAAUGAUUAAGGGAACGUCGAUGUAUGCUAAGUUUAGCAAAUGCUAAUGUUAGAUAAAUCAAGUGACAUUUUUUAGACAUAUUUUAUCUACGUAAGGUAUUCAAGUGGAUUCUUAAAAGGGUAGCAGCGAUUGAGAAUUUGGAACAAUUGCGAACCGUGACUGAGAUUCAGAGUUUUCUCGGCUUAGCAGGUUAUUAUUGAUAGUUCGUCCAAGAUUUUUCAAUCAUUGCUUUGCCUUUGGCGAGAUUGAUGAGAAAAGAGGUUAAGUUUGAGUGGGAUGAAAAAUUGUGAGUAGAGCUUCAGCAAGUAAAAUAUUCCCUCACUCAUGCAUCUGUUUUCGCACUCCCAGACGAUAGUGGUAAUUAUGUGGUCUAUAGUGAUACUUCUUUGAAUGUUCUUGGAUGCGUGUUGAUGCAACAUGGUAGGAUGAUUGCCUAUGCUUCACGGCCAUUGAGAUCUCAUGAGAUGAAUUACCCUACUUGUGAUUUGGAAUUAGCGGCUAUCAUUCUUACUUUGAAGUUAUGGAGACAUUAUAUUAUUGGUGAGAAAUGCAAGAUUUUUAUGAAUCAUAAAAGUCUCCAAUAUAUGUUUACGCGGAGAGAUCUUAAUCUUAGGCAACAAAGGUGGAUUGAGUUGCUUAGUGAUUAUGAUUGUGACUAGGGUGGUCGAGCUAAUGUUGUGGCUGAUGCAUUUAGUAGGAAGACUCCAGUGAGAAUUAAUGCUUAGUACGCUUGCUAUGUUCAUCUUCUUGUGGAUUUGAGAUCUACUGGAGUAAAGUUGGGUAUCAAAGAUCGAGAAGAAGCCUUACUUGCUAAUUUUCAAGUUAGACCUAUUUGGUAGAUCGUACUCGAGACCCAAACGUUUGAUGAAGAAAUUCAAGAAUUUAUUUAAAGCAAGGGAUAACAGGAAAAAGAAAGACCUCAGAGUUAGAGAAUCUUAUGGCAUGCCUAUGCAAAAGAACAAAAUGUAUGUACCUAAUGUUAUGGAAUUAAAGAAAACAAUUUUGGACGAAGCGCACGGUUCAUCUUAUACAAGGCAUCUUGAAGGUAUUAAAAUGUAACAUAUCAUUCGAAAAUUUUACUAUUGACCGAGUAUGAAAAGAGAAAUGGUGGAGUAUGUAAGUAGGCGUAUCAUCCGUCAGCAGGUUAAAGCGGAAAGAAAUAAGUCAUUUGGAUUGAUGUAGUCAUUUCUUGUUCCACGAUGGAAAUGGGAAAAUAUUACUAUGAAUUUCGUGGACAAGCUUCCUCGUAUACAAAAUAGUUAGGUUGGAAUUUGAGUAAUAAUUGAUCGGCUUGCGACGUCAGCGCAUUUUACUUCAGUAUGAGAACAUCAACCUUUCUAGAAGUGCAACAGUGAUUUAUCUGUCUUAUGGAAAAGAGAUUUGGGCAUACGGAUCUGUUGAACUUCUUGGGUAUGUUGGUCCUUCAGUUUGUUCCCAAGAGGAACGCCAUAAGGCCGUGGAUAGCAGUGUCUUGUGUUUCAAAAUUGUUAGAAUUGUGGACGGAUGGUAUUUUGGGGAGCAAAAGGUUCAACCACGAAAAGUCUGAAAAAAAUUUAAGGCCAUGAGGUAGUGGAGGAGACUACUCGGAAUAUUCAAGUAAUUAAGUCUAAACUGAAAGUGGCCCAGGAUUGUUAGAAGAGCCUUGCCGAUAGACAUGGCACGGAUCGGAUGUAUGAUGUAAGUGAUUGAGUAUUUCUGAAACUUUAACCUUGGAAAGGUGGGGUUCGGUUCGGGAAGAAAGGUAAGUUAAGUCCUAGGUACAUCAGACCAUAUGUGAUCACCGAAAGAGUCGGUGAAGUUACUUACAGGCUUGAGUUGCCUCCAGAGUUGUCGAAAGUGCAUAAUGUGUUCCAUGUUUCCAUGCUUCGAUAUUAUGUUUCUGAUCCUUCACAUAUGAUUUCUCCUUAAUCUUUGGAAGUUAAUCCGGAUUUAAUUUAUGAUGAGGAACCAGUGAUAAUCUUGGAUUGGAAGGACAAUUUCUAAGGAAUUAAACAGUGAAGUUAGUGAAAGUUUUAUGGAGGAAUCAUUCAGCAGAAGAAACUACUUAAGAGACAAAAGAUCGAAUGAGAGAGAUGUUUUUCAGGUUGUUAUAUGGAUAUUGAUGGAUUGUAAAGAUUGUGUAAAUUUCAAGGAUGAAAUUUUUUUAAGGUGGGUAGAUUGUAGAGAUGGCAAUUUUAACCGUGAAACCCGAUACCCGUGGAUAACCGCCCGAAUGGAUUAGGUUUGGAUAUGAAAAUUCGGGUAUGGUUUGGAUAUGGGGAAAAACCGUGAACUUUAUUUGGUUAUGGGUUUGGAUAUGGUUAUAGGGGUAUCCAAUCCAUAUCCGUACCCGAAUCCAAACCGAAUAUUAUAUAUAUAUAUAUUUGAUAUAUAUUAUAUUUUAUUCAAUUAAUUCUUAAAAAUUCAAUUUUGCAACCCGGAUUCACUGAUUCAGCAGUUGUGUAAAAUGACAUGAUUGUCCAUCUCAUCUUUAGAUCCUACGGUGAGGAUGAUGAGUUAGAGGGGUAGAACUAGAAUCAUCUUUUUAUCAUAGGGUUUCAGUCUUUCAGAUUAGGACUUGAAUCUUCUUUCUUGGGCGUAGCCGCGCAGGUAAGGCCAUGCAUGCCGCCGAUCCUGGCACGUGUGAGAGAAAAAGAGAGUGACAAUGAGAGAAAGAGAAGAGAGAGUGGUUGUCCAGAUAAUAGGGAGAGAAACAGAGAGGGAGGGGUUGGGAUGGUGAACAGAGAGGAGUAAGGUCCCCCGACUCCGGGACUCCCUCAGUGUCAGUCCAUGAAUCACUCUGGAUCGUCCGUUCCCUUUUGCGUGUCGGAUGAGUGGCUGGAUUUCGAAAGCUAAGUUCCUUUUUUUAUUGGAUUCUUUAUUGUUAGCAUAUAUUUUCAUCAUUUCAGCCUUUUUGCUGUGAAUUAUAUCCGGAUUUUGUUGCACUGUUUGGUCAGGUUUUGGGGGUUCCUUUAUUUGUUUCAUUCUCUGUCAUUUUCUUUCAUUUUGUUGAUGCAGCAUCUCUCUGUUCUGUGUAUUGUUCUUUGUUUUAAGGUCAGUUUUUUUUUUUGUUGGUUUUCAAUUCGUUGAUCUAUGACUCUGUGUUUAGAUUUUCGUUCGUGUAUGAUUAAAUGGGUAUUGGGUUUUGGUGGUUGAAAAUAUGUUUUUUUCUUGCUUAUGCUUCUUGCUCAUUUUCCUGGGAUUUUUUGUUUUGAGUUGCAAGGGUAAAGAAAACACUGAAAUCUUAGAAAUCGGUUUUGGCAUUUGUGUUAAUGCAUUUCCAUUUUUGGUUUGCAGGAUAGGUGGAUGCAUUGAGACCUAAAAAUAUUUGCGUGAACAUCAUAAAGUUUUCUAAGGCUCCAAACGUUGAAGGGUAAGUGUUUUGAGCUAUGUUCAAUUUUUAAUUUGAUUCUCUACUGUUGGGGAUGCAUCUCUGAUCUCUCCGUUCUGUGUAUUGUUCUUUGUUUUAAGGUCAGUUUCUUCUUUUUUUUUUGGUUCUUUUUGUGGGUUUUUAGUUCGUUAAUUUGUGACUCUUGUGUUUAGAUUUUUCGUUGGUGUAUGAUUAAAUGGGUAUUGGGUUUUGCUUGUUAAAUCAAUAAUUGUCUUCUUGUUUAUUGUUAUAUAUUUAGUUUACAUGUUAAUUGACUCAAUUUCAGUAUUAUACCAUGUCUUUGUUUACAUAUUAAUGGAUUUGGUUGUGUUUGCAGCAAUCAAAAUGUCUAAAAGAAAAUUUAAGUCUCAAGAAGAAACAAUAUGUACCCCAACUGAUUGUAAUCUAGCACCUACAUUACAUCCAAGUGCUGUGCAACAAGAAAUACCAAGUCAAAUUGCUCAGCCCCAAGAUAUACCAACUCCAAAUGAGGUCGCUGGUGAGAUUAAGGAACCUGGGGGUGAUGAUGGUGAAGGUAAUAAUUCGAGACUUCGCAGUUUGGUGUGGCAACAUUACACAAGAACACUAGUUGAUGGGGUGAUGAAAGCAAUAUGUAAUUAUUGUAGCAAGAAGCUUGGUGGGAACACUGUAAAUGGAACCAGCCAUUUGAGGCAUCAUGUGACGAUAUGUCCACGUCGGAGACAAAAAAAAUUGAAGCAAACACUAACCCAAAAAGUAGGAGAUGGGAAAGUAGAGUUGUAUACAUUUGACCAAGAAAGUGCAAGGAGAGCUCUCGCCCAAAUGAUAAUAUUGCAUGAGUAUCCUCUUUCCAUGGUUGAGCAUGUUGGAUUUAGAAACUUCAUGAGUGUUGUCCAACUGUUGUUUAAGGUUGUUUCAAGAAACACAAUCAAGAGUGAUAUCCUCAAAAUAUAUGAUUAUGAGCGUUUGAAAACAAUGCAAUUGUUGGAUGAAAAUAAGAGUAGAAUUGCCAUAACUACUGAUAUGUGGACUGCAAGUAAUCAGAACAGAGGAUUUAUGGCAAUAACAUCUCAUUUUAUUGAUGACUCUUGGACGUUGCAGAGCCGAAUAAGGUGAUAUUUUUAAUACUUUAACUUCUAUUUAAUUGUUGUCUAGCUUUAGAUUUAUAUUUCAGAUUGUUUAUUGUAACCAUCUUCAUUGUAAUUUUUUUUCAGAUUUAUUUAUGUGCCUUGUCCGCAUACCGCCGAGACACUUUCAGAUGUUUUGAUGGAGUGCUUGCUAGAUUGGAACCUCGAUCGUAAGCUUUCUACCUUAACAGUAGAUAAUUGCACUACAAAUGAUAAAAUGAUUGAUGUUAUUCUUGAAAAACUUUCUGGUAGUUCACUUUUGUUGGGGUGGAGGGUUCUUUCACAUGCGUUGUUGUGCACAUAUAUUAAACUUAAUUGUGAAGGAUGGUCUCGAAGUGAUUGGUGGUGGUAUUGAGAAAAUUCGUGAGAGUGUUGUUUAUUGGACAACAACACAAAAAAGAAAGGAAAAAUUUGAGGAAGCAGCACGUCAGUUGAAGCUUCCAGGCACUAAGAAAAUGGUGCUUGAUUGUAAAACUCGAUGGAAUUCCACCUUUUUAAUGAUUCAAUCUGCUUUGAUUUACAAGGAUGUUUUCCCUCGUUUGAAACAACGAGAGUCGCAAUAUAAGUGUUUGCCUGAUGAUAGAGAUUGGGAGAUGGCAAGAGAGAUUUGUGAGAAGUUAAAGUUGUUUUAUAAUGUCUCCGAGUUGUUUUAUGGAACUAAGUACCCUACAACCAAUCUUUAUUUUCCAAAGAUUUGUGAGAUCAGGUUGUCGCUAACUCGGUUGCUUACCUCUAGACGUGAUGAAAUAAAAAAUAUGGCAAGAAGUAUGAUUGAGAAAUUUGAUAAAUAUUGGAGUGUGAUUCAUGGAAUAAUGGCUGUAGCUACUGUAUUGGAUCCAAGAUUCAAGAUGAGGCUGAUUGAGUAUUUCUUUCCGCUUAUGUAUGGGCAAUAUGCUUCGAAUGAAAUUGAUAAGAUUCGCAAAUAUUGUUAUGAUUUGAUAAAAGAGUGUGGAUCUAAUCAUAGUUCUAACAUGGGUCAUCAGCCAUCAUUCACUUCAUCUCAUUUGAAUCAAUCUGACUUUGAAGAGAUGAAUCCUUUAAUGGAUAACUUUGACUUGUUUGUUUCUAGUACUGUAAGUACUGAUAAUGAAAAGUCAGAAUUAGAUCACUAUUUGGAUGAGGCUGUUUUGCCUAGACAUCUGAUUUUGAUAUUUUGGGUUGGUGGAAAUCAAAUGGGACUAAAUAUCCUAUCUUAAGUGUUUUGGCAAGGGAUAUAUUAGCUAUUCCUAUAUCUACAGUUGCUUCUGAAUCAGCUUUCAGUACUAGUGGGAGAUUUGUAAGUCCACACCGUAGUAGACUUCAUCCAAAGACAUUGGAAGCCUUAAUGUGCGCCCAAAAUUGGUUGUGGAAAGAAAUUCAAGGUACUCCAAAGUAUUAAUUUAUUUUCAUCUUAUAUUUGUGCUGCUGUGCAUGUUCUUUAAUCUUAAUUUCGAACUUAUUUUUCAAACUUAAUUAAUUAGUAUGCAUUCAGUUUUUAGAACUAAUUUAAGUCUUCAAUUUCAUGUUUCACAACUAGCUUCUUGUUCUAAUGCACACGUUGGUUGUUGCACUUAUUUUGAAGAAAUGGAUAUGGAUGAGGUAAGUAUUGGCAAUUAUAUUAUAUGUAUAUAAAUAUCUUCUUUGUAGAUUAUAUGUGUACAACGAUUCAUAAUAAUUAUUUCGUCAUUUUCUUAAUAAUGUAGGAUUCAUGCUCCAUUGAUGGGUGUGAAGGAGGAGAUGCAGGAGCACCAUGAAAUAAUGAUGAUGGCAGCCUUGGCGGAACUAGAAGCAAAUUGCAUAUAUCUCGUUCUUUUGUCGUCAAUAUAUUAUUAUGUUUUUUGUAAUUGGAAGUCGGAUGAGUGGUUGGAUUCUUUACUGUUAGCAUAUAUUUUCAUCAUUUCAGCCUUUUUGCUGUGAAUUAUAUCUGGAUUUUGUUGCACUGUUUGGUCAGGUUUUGGGGGUUCCUUUAUUUGUUUCAUUCUCUGUCAUUUUCUUUCAUUUUGUUGAUGCAGCAUCUCUCUGUUCUGUGUAUUGUUCUUUGUUUUAAGGUCAGUUUUUUUUUUUGUUGGUUUUCAGUUCGUUGAUCUAUGACUCUAUGUUUAGAUUUUCGUUCGUGUAUGAUUAAAUGGAUAUAACCGAUAACCGAUUGAAAAUCCGUCACCCGGUGGAUAUGGUUAUGGAUAAUCCCCGAUUGGUUAUUUUACGGUUAUGGGUAUGGCUAAUUUUUGUGGUUAUGGGGAUGGAUAUUGCUUUUCCGUCCCCAAACCAAACCGUUGCCAUCCCUAGUAGAUUGUGACAGCCCGUCCCUAAUCUUAUGAGUUUUUAAAGUUUUAAUAAAGGAUUUUACAAAAUUGCCCCUUGAGGUACGCAUAUUUUUCGAGAUUAAUAGUCAUGUCGUGCCAUCUAAGAUUUGUUUUCUUGACAUAUCAUCGUAGUACUCGUCGUUACGGACGCGUGGGCGCAGACGGUUUGUGAUUUGGAGUUAUAUCGAAAAAGUUAUUGACGUUUGAAAUUUGGGAAUUUUAGGAAUUUUAAUUUUAGUAAAAUAUAGAAUUUCUUUUAUGAAAAUAGAUGGCCCAGAUUUAAUGAAGAAUUAAAUGGAUGGCUGGGAUGAGAGAAAGAAGAUUUUGUGUGUGUGUGUGUGCGUGAGAAGAAGAAGAAUCAGAGGAAAGAGAUUGGGCAGAAAUGCCCAAUCGGGAAAAAAGAGAAGAAUGGAUCAUGAGGGAGUGAGAGAGAGAGUUCAGCGAAUGGAGAGAAUAGAGAGAGAAAAAACGACCAAUCGGAACAUAUGACAGGAGGAAAUGAGGGAGAGAGUGGCGCGGGGGAUCGGCCGGAUCCCCCUUGGCCCAUUUUUGACCCGUCGGCAUCCAUGCCUAUUUUCGACGAUUUUCACCCGUUUUUCCGGCGAAUUGCUUCAAGAAACUUCAUAGGAAACACUCUAGGAGCCUUCCUCUAUCCAUUCCAUCUCAAAAUUGGAGAGAUUUGGCUUUGAAAAUGGAGAAAACCGCAAGGAGGGGUGCGGCGACUUUGGCUUCGAAUCACCCAAUCCCGAAGCAAUUUCUUUCAAUUGCCACCACCCAUAGCUUCCUCUUGAGGCCUAGAACAAAGCUCAAGCAUUGAUUGGAACGGCGGAGUUGAUUUGAAGACGAAUUGGAACUCACCCAAUUCUAGGGUUCUUCACGGUUUUGACGAAAUUGGAGCCUUUCCAGGCCAAAUUGGCCUUGGCCUUAGGUAUAAAGUUUACUCUAAUCGUUGGAUUUUCCGGCGAGCCGGGGAGGCCAACUGCCACCCGCGGCGGCCCAUGCGGCGGCACAUGGCCAGUGGCCUGCCAAUGUCAUUCUUAGCAUGUGUUUAAUGUUCUAGGUUCAGUUUUGAUAAUUGAUUGAUGUAAAUUGAGUAAUUGAACCUAAGUUAGUUACGAUCCGUGGUGAGGUGAAAAUGUGAAUUGACGAUUCGAUCGUCGGAUCGUCACCAAACUUUGAUACAUUGUAACACGUAAUAUUUGAGGAUUAUAGAAACUGACGGAUUGGGAAUCUGAUUUACGGAUCUUCCGGAAUUGGAGUUGUAAGUUCAUAAAAUAGAAUGUUAACUGUCACUUGGUUUUGACAAUUGGCGGAGAUCCGACCAUUGGAUGGUAAUGGAAUUUUAGGAUGUAGCUCUAGGGAUAUAUUGUGAAACUCUGGAAGUUAUGGAUUGGAAAUCUGAGUUGUAGAUCUUCCGGAUCGAUCUACAUAGUGACGUGUUUUAUAUAAGUUAUAUAUUCUAUCGAUAUGAUUUCUGAGGUUUGAUUUGAUGAUUGUUCUAGGCGCCGAUCGUCAUGAUGCCUUGAUGUAUUGUGCUAGGGAGUUGUAGGGCGAACUCCAGGUGAGUGGGCAGUAUUUUCUGUAUUUACCUAUAUACUACUGAAUUUCUCAGAAAUUGAAUUUAAAUGAAAGUUUAAAAUGCCAUGCAUGCAUAUUAUGAAUUAUAUGAAUUAGUAAUUGAUGCAUAUAUAUAUAUGUAAAUUGGUGUUGUGGACGCACAUGCGAGUAUCAGGUGAGUUUUAUGUUAUUUAUGUGAAUCAUUGAUGAUAUGAAUUGUGUUGAGAGCUCAUAACCUGCACCCCUGGUGUUAGUGCUUAUAGUAUUCACCGCACUGCACGCUCACCUUGGAUCCAAGUAGGUGCAUGUCGUACAGACCAUGAGAGGGUUCCGACAUGCUAGUCGUACAGACCACUAGAGGUGGUUCGGACUGGUAGGUGACCUUAGAUUAUGUGCACAGAUGAUUGAUGAGAGAAGCACUAGAGCGUAUUAUUACACCAUUCUUAUCAUACAGACUACUUUAGGUAGUUCCGAUUUAUGUGUAGAGUAGUGCCGUACAGGUCACAGUGGUGACUCCGGUUGGAUUGGAUAUUGAGCUAUAGAAUUAACCGAACAGGACCAACUGCAGGGUCUCCGGUUGAUUCCUUAUUCCACCUGUUAUAUUGAUACAUCUUUAGUAUGUUUUGAUGCAUAGCAUGUCAUAUUUUCUCGAAAAGUGUUAAAGACUUGUGAUUUGAGUUUUGAGAUUUUAUAUGGUUAUAUAUAUUAUAUUUUUUAGGAAAGUAUACAGGUUUUACAGCGAGGGGUUAGAAAUGUUUUAAAUAAAAUAUUUUCGAAAAACUUUGUUUUACUAACCCACUCAAUUUUGUUUUGCGCCCCUCCAGGUUCAAGUUAGCAGAGCUUUGGUGGCCACGAGGAAUCCAACGGUGUUCUGACAGAAUUCACAAAAGUAGGAUUCACCCCCGGGUGUUAUAUCUUAGUAAUUGUAUCUUUAAAGCUUCCGAACUGUGUAAAUGGUUACGUCACUCUCACAUGACGGCCAGCAUGCCCUCCUUCGGGACCGGGUGUGUCAAUAUGUCCCCUCACUCUUUCUUGUAAUUUUUUAUAAAGAGGGAUAAGGUGUAUGUCCUCCCUUUUUUUUUUCUAGUAAUUUGUUUUUCUUGUUUUAUAAGGGAUAAGUUUAUGUCUCCUUAACUAAGGGUAACCUUUUUUUUUUCAUAACAAUAAACUUUGCUCGUACUGCCGAGGUUUUUCAAUUCUUUCUUGUAAUAGCAAAGGAGACAACUUCACAUUUUAAAAGUAAAAUGAAAAAGGAUUUUUCCAUGCAAUAGGACAUUAUUACAAAAGUCGACCAUUUGUGUUUGCGUAGCCGUAAGCUACUACCAAACCAAGAAAUAGAAAAGGGCCAGUCAUUUUCUUAAGAUAACAUUAAUCUAUCUGAUCCAAGAAAGCCUUGAAAUUCUUGUUCGAAGACCCCCCUUCACUCACAGCCUCUCUUGCCAAAUCUUUCCAUUUCUUAGCAUUCCUUCUCAUCUCUUCACCAAUCUCCCCACUUCCCAUGACCAACUCCAAACACCUCUUGAACUCCUCACCCGUAACAAUCCCCUCCUCAUUUUGUGUCACCCUCAAUCCUGUCUUCCAAGUGUCUUCUAUCAACUUGGCAUUCGUCCCUUGGUCCGUCCACUGAGGAAACGCCACGACAGGCACCCCCGAAACCAGGCUCUCCAAACUUGAAUUCCACCCACAAUGUGUCACAAAGCAACCCAACGAAGGACUCGAGAGAACCGCCACUUGACUACACCAUGGCACUAUCCUCCCGAGCUCUUCUAAUUCCUCUCUGCAACUCAACAUCUCUUCUUCUUUCUUCGCCUCGUUAUCGUCUCCCUUCUUCUCGACUUUAUCUCUAAUAACCCACAAGUACGGACGGCCACAAUCCAACAACGCCUUCGCGAUUUCCUCCAUUUGGGCCUUUUCCAACACAGAAAUGCUUCCGAAGGAUACAUAAAUCACCGACCCUUCCGGCUUCGAGUUCAGCCACUCGAGGUACGAAGAGUCCUUUGAUUUUUGGAAAAGAUCGCCUCCAAAUGACUUGUCCGAUGGAACCUUGCUGUCCAAGGAAGCAGACCGAAUCAGUGGCCCGAUUCCAAUCAAAUUGUACUUGUCAAUUGCUUUUAAGGCUUCUGGCUCUAGCG
Molecule: long non-coding RNA, 37489 nt
Filed under: Malus domestica (apple)
Lineage: Eukaryota; Viridiplantae; Streptophyta; Magnoliopsida; Rosales; Rosaceae
Description: long non-coding RNA (MDOM_LNC003517)
Source: RNAcentral